GCCGAGGUAGCUCAGUGGUAGAGCGCAUGCCUGAAGAGCAUGGCGUCGGCAGUCCGAUUCUGCCCCUCGGCACCA
RNAcentral lists this transfer RNA (75 nucleotides) under Patescibacteria group bacterium. RNAcentral's name for it is "tRNA-Phe". It matches the Rfam family "tRNA". From Rfam's summary of the family: Transfer RNA (tRNA) molecules are approximately 80 nucleotides in length. Their secondary structure includes four short double-helical elements and three loops (D, anti-codon, and T loops). The record is from RNAcentral. RNAcentral also lists the same sequence under 1 other name.